Molecule: transfer RNA, 81 nt
Filed under: Verticillium alfalfae VaMs.102
Lineage: Eukaryota; Fungi; Ascomycota; Sordariomycetes; Glomerellales; Plectosphaerellaceae
Description: tRNA-Leu (AAG) (tRNA-Leu-AAG-2-1)
Rfam family: tRNA
About the family: Transfer RNA (tRNA) molecules are approximately 80 nucleotides in length. Their secondary structure includes four short double-helical elements and three loops (D, anti-codon, and T loops). Further hydrogen bonds mediate the characteristic L-shaped molecular structure. tRNAs have two regions of fundamental functional importance: the anti-codon, which is responsible for specific mRNA codon recognition, and the 3' end, to which the tRNAs corresponding amino acid is attached (by aminoacyl-tRNA synthetases). tRNAs cope with the degeneracy of the genetic code in two manners: having more than one tRNA (with a specific anti-codon) for a particular amino acid; and 'wobble' base-pairing, i.e. permitting non-standard base-pairing at the 3rd anti-codon position.
Source: RNAcentral
GGUGAGGUGGCCGAGUUGGUUAUGGCGCCAGGUUAAGGUCCUGGUGGGGCAACCGCGCGAGUUCGAGUCUCGUCCUCAUCA